This 93-nucleotide microRNA precursor is filed under the name Canis lupus familiaris (dog). Its description in RNAcentral is "mir-8799 microRNA precursor family". It matches the Rfam family "mir-8799 microRNA precursor family". RNAcentral also lists the same sequence under 1 other name. The record is from Rfam by way of RNAcentral. Lineage: Eukaryota; Metazoa; Chordata; Mammalia; Carnivora; Canidae.
AAGGGGAGUGCUGGAUCUUGGGCUGUGUCUCCUGGCAUGUUGGGCUCUGGGGUCUGCGCUGCUGGAAUUGCGUUCCCGGCCGCGCAGCCCCCU